This is a non-coding RNA of Odocoileus virginianus texanus, 211 nucleotides long. Lineage: Eukaryota; Metazoa; Chordata; Mammalia; Artiodactyla; Cervidae. The record is from RefSeq and is a predicted model, not a curated record.
AAUCUUUAUUUUUUUUCUUGUUAGUUAGAACCUGGCCCUUUAGAUGAAACCCAGAUUGCUACUAUAUUAAGAGAAAUACUGAAAGGACUUGAUUAUUUGCAUUCGGAGAAGAAAAUUCACAGAGAUAUUAAAGCUGCCAACGUCCUGCUCUCUGAGCACGGGGAGGUGAAGCUGGCGGACUUCGGAGUGGCGGGCCAGCUGACAGACACCC